AUUGAACGCUGGCGGCAUGCUUUACACUUGCAAGUCGAACGGUAACAGGUUAAGCUGACGAGUGGCGAACGGGUGAGUAAUGCAUCGGAACGUGCCCGAUCGUGGGGGAUACCGCAGCGAAAGCUGCGCUAAUACCGCAUACGAUCUGAGGAUGAAAGCGGGGGACCGUAAGGCCUCGCGCGAUCGGAGCGGCCGAUGUCAGAUUAGGUAGUUGGUGGGGUAAAGGCCCACCAAGCCGACGAUCUGUAGCUGGUCUGAGAGGACGACCAGCCACACUGGGACUGAGACACGGCCCAGACUCCUACGGGAGGCAGCAGUGGGGAAUUUUGGACAAUGGGCGAAAGCCUGAUCCAGCAAUGCCGCGUGCAGGAAGAAGGCCUUCGGGUUGUAAACUGCUUUUGUACGGAGCGAAAAGGUCCUUUCUAAUACAAGGGGCUCAUGACGGUACCGUAAGAAUAAGCACCGGCUAACUACGUGCCAGCCGCCGCUGUAA
This 493-nucleotide ribosomal RNA is filed under the name uncultured bacterium. RNAcentral's name for it is "partial 16S ribosomal RNA". It matches the Rfam family "Bacterial small subunit ribosomal RNA", at positions 30 to 523 of the family's 1533-position model. The record is from RNAcentral.